Molecule: long non-coding RNA, 501 nt
Organism: Talpa occidentalis (Iberian mole)
Lineage: Eukaryota; Metazoa; Chordata; Mammalia; Eulipotyphla; Talpidae
Exons: 4
Source: RefSeq, a predicted model, not a curated record
GGGUGGAGUUAAGCAGCCAUGCUUGAUGUAAAAACAGAACACUGGUGGCCCUGGAGAGCCCAUGGUUCUGCCUGCCUUUAGCUGCACCUGGAGUCCCGACUGAGACAGAUACAGUUGUAUGACUGUGUAACGGGGAGGCUUAUUUCCAGUCAGGGAACCAAAAACCUGAUACCAGCCAAAACUGAAGGAUUCCUGUGAACCUGAAACUGCAGUCCCCAAUUCUGAGAAUCCAGUUCACGUCAUGCUGGGAAUUAUAAUCCAAAGUGACCUGAGAUGAUGGUGGCAUGGAAGUAAAGUUAGGUCAUUUCUUUCCAGUCUGUGAGUGAAAUAUGAUGAUAGGUCAUUGCUAUUCAAGGAUGGAGCUGUAUGUACAUCAUUCCUGUACUGAAGGCGGAUGACCCCUAGGGAGAUGGUGCAGCUAGCAUUCACAGAUGGAUAUUGGUUGCAAGUUACUAGAGAGACCAGGAGCAAAUGGGACCUGAGACUCCAUCUCAAUAAGCU